UGGGGAAUUUUGGACAAUGGGCGAAAGCCUGAUCCAGCAAUGCCGCGUGUGUGAAGAAGGCCUUCGGGUUGUAAAGCACUUUUGUCCGGAAAGAAAUCCUUGGCUCUAAUACAGUCGGGGGAUGACGGUACCGGAAGAAUAAGCACCGGCUAACUACGUGCCAGCAGCCGCGGUAAUACGUAGGGUGCAAGCGUUAAUCGGAAUUACUGGGCGUAAAGCGUGCGCAGGCGGUUUGCUAAGACCGAUGUGAAAUCCCCGGGCUCAACCUGGGAACUGCAUUGGUGACUGGCAGGCUAGAGUAUGGCAGAGGGGGGUAGAAUUCCACGUGUAGCAGUGAAAUGCGUAGAGAUGUGGAGGAAUACCGAUGGCGAAGGCAGCCCCCUGGGCCAAUACUGACGCUCAUGCACAAGAAGCGUGGGGAGCAAACAGGAUUAGAUACCCCUGGGUAGUCCACGCCCUAAACGAUGUCAACUAGUUGUUGGGGGAUUCAUUUCCUUAGUAACGUAGCUAACGCGUGAAGUUGACCGCCUGGGGAGUACGGUCG
Molecule: ribosomal RNA, 544 nt
Filed under: uncultured bacterium
Lineage: Bacteria
Description: partial 16S ribosomal RNA
Rfam family: Bacterial small subunit ribosomal RNA
Source: RNAcentral